RNAcentral lists this ribosomal RNA (496 nucleotides) under uncultured bacterium. RNAcentral's name for it is "partial 16S ribosomal RNA". It matches the Rfam family "Bacterial small subunit ribosomal RNA", at positions 28 to 523 of the family's 1533-position model. The record is from RNAcentral.
GAUGAACGCUAGCGGCAGGCUUAACACAUGCAAGUCGAGGGGGAGAAGUUGCUUGCCACUUUGAGACCGGCGCACGGGUGCGUAACGCGUAUGCAAUCUACCUUAUACAGAGGGAUAGCCCAGAGAAAUUUGGAUUAAUACCUCAUAGUAUAAUUGAAUGGCAUCAUUUAAUUAUUAAAGUUCCAACGGUAUAAGAUGAGCAUGCGUCCUAUUAGUUAGAUGGUAAGGUAACGGCUUACCAUGGCAACGAUAGGUAGGGGUCCUGAGAGGGAGGGCCCCCACACUGGUACUGAGACACGGACCAGACUCCUACGCGAGGCCGCAGUGAGGAAUAUUGGACAAUGGGCGCAAGCCUGAUCCAGCCGUGCCGCGUGCAGGAAGAAGCAUCUAUGGUGUGUAAACUGCUUUUGUACGGGAAGAAACACCCCUUCGUGAAGGGACUUGACGGUACCGUAAGAAUAAGGAUCGGCUAACUCCGUGCCAGCAGCCGCCGUAA